GUUUUCCUACGGGGGGCAGCAGUGGGGGAUAUUGCACAAUGGGGGAAACCCUGAUGCAGCGACGCCGCGUGAGUGAAGAAGUAUUUCGGUACGUAAAGCUCUAUCAGCAGGGAAGAAUAAUGACGGUACCUGACUAAGAAGCCCCGGCUAACUACGUGCCAGCAGCCGCGGUAAUACGUAGGGGGCAAGCGUUAUCCGGAAUCACUGGGUGUAAAGGGAGCGUAGACGGCUGUGCAAGCCUGAAGUGAAAGGCGGGGGCCCAACCCCUGGACUGCUUUGGGAACUGUACGGCUGGCGUGCAGGAG
Molecule: ribosomal RNA, 305 nt
Filed under: uncultured bacterium
Lineage: Bacteria
Description: bacterial SSU rRNA
Rfam family: Bacterial small subunit ribosomal RNA
Source: RNAcentral